UAUUUCACUCUGCCAUGGCUAUGGGCUUAAGGACUCGAUCUUUCGAUCAUCAUAGGACUACUCCUCUCAUCUACCGAGGUUGAUAGAUUCCAUCUUGGUGCGAUCUAGUUCCUACAAUGAAUAUACCUCAGGGUUCUGAAUGGCUAGGAGAUCAAGUUAUGGUGUAGUCAAACUAUAACACAUUCAAGGUGAACUGUCGAUGCACCUC
RNAcentral lists this long non-coding RNA (208 nucleotides) under Elaeis guineensis (African oil palm). Its description in RNAcentral is "long non-coding RNA (EGUI_LNC075099)". The record is from RNAcentral. Lineage: Eukaryota; Viridiplantae; Streptophyta; Magnoliopsida; Arecales; Arecaceae.